AUGUCUCUCGAGCGGCGCGAGACCAAGAAAGCGAUCAUGGCGACCGACGGGCAGGCCGACCGCCUCAGCUCCCUCCCCGACGACCUCCUCUACCACGUACUCUCCUUCCUCCCGGCGCACGAAGUGGUGCCGACGUGCGUGCUCGCGCGGCGCUGGCGCCACCUCUGGAGAUUCGCGCCUGCACUGCGCAUCACCGGCGUCAAGGGGUGCAACAACGCGGAGUGGUUCGUCAACUUCGUCCACAGCCUGCUCCUCCUCCGCGACCCCCGCACCCAGCUAGACUCCUUCGAGAUCGACCUCGACGACGGCGACUUCGAUUUCAAGGAGUUCCUGCCCGCCAACGAGGAGCACGUGAACCGGUGGUUCCGGCACGCCGUGAUGUGCGGACCCAGGGUGCUGGCGCUGCGCACCACCGAUGGCAUCUACAUGUACGAGGACGAUUACCAGCCGAUGAUGCUUUCUAAUGUCCCUCUCAUCUCUCAACACCUUACCAGAUUGGAACUCGAGAUGGUGGACGUGUACAGCAGUACCCUCGAUUUGUCAGGUUGUCCGGCGCUGGUUCAUCUCAAGAUUGACGACAGCGACAUAGAUGGGAACAUCACUUCUCCGUCCUUGCAACAUCUCAGCAUCAACCUCAGUUAUUUUCGGACAGGCCCCUUUCGCACCCGGAUCCGUACGCCUAACCUUGUUUCCCUGGAGCUAAUCGAUGUUAUGCGUAGGGCUCCGGUACUGGUUGAAAACAUGCCACUGUUAGUUUCGGCAAGUGUUAUUCUUAGUUCACAUUGUGUUGAUUCUUGUUCUAAGAAUGACUGUGGGGAUUGCAAUGAUCUUCAGUGUUAUGGUUGUCAUUCUUCUGAACGUGGUGCUGAUGACAGACGUGGCGAGUCUGUUCUUUUCGAAGGAUUAGCAGAAGUCCAGCAGCUGGAGUUGUCAGUUGAUCCUAAAGUGUUUAUUGUCAACAGGGAUUUCAAAUUGAGCCCUACAUUUAGCAAGUUAAAGACUUUGCUGCUCAGCAAAUGGUGUCCCGGUAUUGCUGGUGACCUCAAUAUAUUAAGUUGCUUCCUUAAACAUUCACCAAUUAUGGAGAAGCUCACUCUCCAUCUUUCUGAGGUACCUAAAGUUCCAGUGGAAACACAAAGAAGUUACACUCCACCAGAUCAACCACUUGAAUGCAGCCAUCUGAAGAUAGUUGAGAUCAGAUGUGACGAAGUUGAUGAGAGGGCUCAAAGGUUUUUAAUAUCUUGA
This 1245-nucleotide ribosomal RNA is filed under the name Triticum aestivum (bread wheat). RNAcentral describes it as "partial small subunit ribosomal RNA". Lineage: Eukaryota; Viridiplantae; Streptophyta; Magnoliopsida; Poales; Poaceae. The record is from RNAcentral.